AUGCAAUCUACCUUGUACAGAGGGAUAGCCCAGAGAAAUUUGGAUUAAUACCUCAUAGUAUUGUUGAAUGGCAUCAUUUAAUAAUUAAAGUUCCAACGGUACAAGAUGAGCAUGCGUCCUAUUAGCUAGUUGGUGUGGUAACGGCAUACCAAGGCUACGAUAGGUAGGGGUCCUGAGAGGGAGAUCCCCCACACUGGUACUGAGACACGGACCAGACUCCUACGGGAGGCAGCAGUGAGGAAUAUUGGACAAUGGGCGCAAGCCUGAUCCAGCCAUGCCGCGUGCAGGAAGACGCAUCUAUGGUGUGUAAACUGCUUUUGUACGGGAAGAAACACUCCCUCGUGAGGGAGCUUGACGGUACCGUAAGAAUAAGGAUCGGCUAACUCCGUGCCAGCAGCCGCGGUAAUACGGAGGAUCCAAGCGUUAUCCGGAAUCAUUGGGUUUAAAGGGUCCGUAGGCGGUUUAAUAAGUCAGUGGUGAAAGCCCAUCGCUCAACGAUGGAACGGCCAUUGAUACUGUUAGACUUGAAUUAUUGUGAAGUAACUAGAAUAUGUAGUGUAGCGGUGAAAUGCUUAGAUAUUACAUGGAAUACCAAUUGCGAAGGCAGGUUACUAACAAUAUAUUGACGCUGAUGGACGAAAGCGUGGGGAGCGA
Molecule: ribosomal RNA, 654 nt
Filed under: uncultured Bacteroidota bacterium
Lineage: Bacteria; Pseudomonadati; Bacteroidota
Description: bacterial SSU rRNA
Rfam family: Bacterial small subunit ribosomal RNA
Source: RNAcentral